This is a non-coding RNA of Triticum aestivum (bread wheat), 87 nucleotides long. The record is from Rfam. Lineage: Eukaryota; Viridiplantae; Streptophyta; Magnoliopsida; Poales; Poaceae.
GGAGAGAUGGCCGAGCGGUUCAAGGCGUAGCAUUGGAACUGCUAUAUAGACUUUUGUUUACCCAGGGUUCGAAUCCCUCUCUUUCCG